AGAGGGGAAACUGUAAUCAGGAUACAUUGCAUGAGAAAAGAAUUUUUUCAAUAAAGGUAAGAAAAGAAUUACGUUGAAUGGAUAAUUAACUAAACAAAGAUGACUACUUGUCCUAGUUAGAAUUUAUAUUGUUGCAAUGAAACACCCUGGCCAAAAAGCAAGUUGGGGAGGAAAGGGUGGGUUUAUAUGGCUUACAGUUUCACAUUGCUGCUCAGGAAGUCAGGAUAGGAUCGAACAGGGCAGGAAUGUGGAAGCAGCAGCUGAUGCAGAGGCCAUGGCCAUGGAGAGAUUCUGAUUAUUGGGCUUACUCCCUAUGGCUUGCUGAGCCUACUUUCUUAUAGAACUCAGGAACAUCAGCCCAGGCAUGGUACCACCCAAUGAGCUAGGCUCUUCUCAUCAAUCACUAAUUAAGAAAAUGCUUUACAGGCCCAAUCUUGAGGUAUAUGAGGUACUUGCCAAUUGGGGUUCCCUCCUCAGAUGAUUAUGGUUCGUGAUAGGUUGAGAUAAAUCUAGCCAGCACACUACUGAAUAAUUAGUAACAAUUUGGUAAUAAGAAGGGAUUAAUCAUUAAGUAAAGACACUGCCUCAGAGCACAAGAAUAGUAGAUGUGGUGAACACAUGUUUCCAAUAGCUGAGUCUACGUAGCCAUGGUAGAAGGAAAACUCAGUGGCCCACCUUGAGGUUUGCAACUGCAACAGUGUAGAGUAUGGUUCACUUAGUGAACUACAGGUAAGAGGUGCUACAGAUAAAGCAGAGAUGGGUACAAGGGGCCAGGGUACCAGUGAAGGAGCUGGGACUCUGCCCUCUGGGAUAUGGGUACACCUCACAGGAACAUUUCCCUUUAUGGUGUUCAGGAGCCUGUUAGUGAAGCUAGCAAAACUAGCAAGAACAUGAAUACUCCUGGAAGUUCUGCUGUUUGUAAAAGAGUUGCUUCAGUAAAACCAUAUAGGGAAAUCGGUCUCUCCCUCUCUGUCACAUCUCUCUCCCACCCUCUUCUGAGAAGGGAAAUGUGUAUUGGCACCUGAUGACAAAGGAAAUGUGUAUUAUUACAUCAGAAUCUUCCAUCACCAAGCAAGAUCAAAGCAGACUAGGAGACACUUACUAGCAAUAAGCAGACAACUGGUUAAGAUGGUCAUAAUAUUGAAGGAAUAAUAAUAAUAAUAAUAAUAAUAAUAAUAAUAUUGUUAGGAGACAUUUCAGAAGUGGUUAAAUGGUUAUUGGUGUAACCCAGCCUAGUAUGUUGAGUUUAUCUGAAGGUGUAUCUCCAAAUGCCCCACAAAAUAGGAAACAGUUUUUUGGAGAACAUCUUCAAACAAUGCACAUGGCAGGUACUUUAUAGGCAAGUAUGAAUUGAUACUACAUGUCCAAGAUGAAUGUUCUAUUAAGUCAAGAAUUGCAGUUGUCAGCAAGCCAGGUCUCCCUACCCCAAGUGUCCCCCAGGGUGGAGGAGGGUGCCUCAGGGAAAGGCCUUUCAAAUCAUGUUGGGCUAUUUCUGAGGGCCUUGAAAAAAUAGAAACUCUUCCUUGUAGGUAUAUCUGACUUAAGAUUCUUUUGGUUGCAAGGAAUAAAUGAUAAGUACCGGUAGUUUCAGAAAUAAGGAUUAAGGUCGUUAAUAAUCUCAUGCAACAAGCUAUCUGGAGGAGGCUCAUUCAUAACUUUAAAGUCUCAUAUGCCCUCACAUCUUUCAGAUCUGUCAUGCUUACAAUACUGGCUUUUUGCUUCAUGGUUGGAAGAUAGGACUUCUUAUUUUAGACAUCAUUUUACCAUUUAGACAAGAAAAAGACAGAACUGUAUUCCGCAUCUGCAUUCAGUGGCUAUUAGGUGUGAAGCUAUUUGACAAUAUCUUUGGAAACAUCGGAUGUACAGAAUUAUCAGGCUAUAUAAUUUAAUUUUCAGUGUAGAAAUAUAUCAUCUUGGCUCUCCUGCAAGCUCUAUGGAUCUGAAUAUGAGGCUCUUGAGACUCCAAUUCCACCUCAUGGUAUGCCUCCCUCUGUGCAAACAGAACAGGGUUAGUCUUCAAGACUACACACCUACCAAAAUUAUUCUUCCCCAGCCUGCUUAGUAUAUACUCCUGGAAUUAUCCUAUUUACUUGUAGUUACUAUAUAGUGUAUGUGUGAGUAAUAUUUUAUGUAGUAGUGUUUUGUGCCAUAAAAAUCCUUUAAAAUAAAUUUCUAUUAGUAAAGAUUUUAUUCUUUUUCAGCUUGCCCCCCCCCCCCAGAUCAAUAAAAUGUCAAAUGAAAUGAGGCUGCCUUUUAAAGGGAUAUUCUCUGUGCUGCUAGUCUGGUUUCCAUUUGAUAUGAGCAUUUAAAUGUUGGCUGAAUGAAAAAGAAUGUUUUAGUAAUGGUUAGAUAGUUUCUCAUUGUCUAGCGUGUGCCUUUACUGAGGUUGUUCCAUACCUUCCUUGCUGUUUUGGAUCAAAUUUGAGAAUGGAAAAAUUAUUUAAGUAGAAAAUUUCAGUGUGCUUGCAAAAAUUCAAUGAAAGUGAACUAACCUAGUGUUUGAAAAUUUUGUAUUGCUAACUUUCUGUUAUUACUAGCAAAUAAAUUUCUUUAUUCAUCUUCUAGCUCCUCUGACUUUUUAAUAUUUAUAAAGUAGAAUUCUCUUUAACUUCUUUAGAGAGGGAAACUGUCUUUUAUAUAUAAAGUUAUUUAGAUUUUUUUGCCUAUAAUGUUUUUCUGAGAUGGUGUUUUCUUGAAGGAAAAUAUUUUCAGUUUCAAAGGCUGAAAACAAAUCCACAAGAACUCACUAAACUCAGAAAGAGUUUAGCUUCCUAAGCAGACUGUGCAAAGAUAGGAAUCAGCAGCCGGAUUCACAGCCUCUGAUUGUCCCAAAUCACACAAGUCAUCAACUGAGUACUCAGAAAAGGAAAACAAGCCAUUUUCAGCUAAAGGAUAUGAGCAUAAUGUGUACCAUAAACUCACGGUGGAUGUUUUAGAACCAAGCAUGUUUGUGACUUAAUUUGAAUUUCUCAGUGCAACACAUCUCAAAAAUUCCUUAAACAUCAUAGAUGAUCUAUUAUGUACAAAACAUGACUGUUGAGAAACACCAUUUCCUUGCCUUCUGGGAGGAACCUUAGGAAACAUCGGCAGCAGGUGCAAAGUAUUCCAGAGAGAGGACUGGCUAUAAAGAACAUAUUUAUCCAUCAGUUCCAAAUCUUUCUGCUUCUGAGGGCUUAAAAAAAGAGAUUUCUUGAGCUGAGGAAAUUAAAAACAAAACAAACAACCAUCCUAAGGUGGUGGAAGAGGACGAGGAAAUGCUCUGUGAUAUUGUGAAAUCUGGACUUGAAAUUUGUUCUCAUUUCCUUAUGCACAGCUUCUAACACCCUUGGUUUCAGAGUAAGGAGCAUUUUUUUCAUAUUAAUGAAGUGACUUGUAGCUGGAAGCCAUUAGAUAGCUUCAGGACAAGUAGUGGUUCCAAAAGAGUAAAGAAUGAUCAGAUUUUUUAGUUCUACCUCUUAGUCCUUGAAAAGCAAAGAGAGACUGCACCAGGACUAGUAAUACAGUUAACUUGCCUUUGAAAUGAAGCCUCCACAGGUAAGACCCCCACCCUCCAUCAGUGGUACUUACUCUGAGACACCUAUGAAUGAGGCACCAAGACACAGGUCGACGCAAAAGCAAGAGGUUUAUUUUCUGGGCACAUCAGUGUCGACCCUCAAUCAGUCCCUGGAGGUGAGUGACUAGAAGGUGACCCCAAAUGGCUAUUACAAGCAGUUUUUAUACUUUUUAGGGGCACAGAUUACCUCAGCAAGGUUAGAGUUCAAACUUAUUGGGUAAGCAUAUUAACCUUUAAAUCUACCGACUAGCAAGCACCAGUCAGUACAUUCUGAGAAUUUUCUACCCAAGAAUGUUCCUGUGGGUGGAAAAUGGAACUUGGCCUAGCCUCAAUCCCAGGUGGGAAGCUGGAACCUGGCCUAGUCUUGCCCUGAGGUGGGUGGGUGUAAGGCUGGUGAAAGCCCCUAGGGUCCUUCACACAAACACUCAAAAUGCACAGGGAUCAAAAGAAUGACUGAACAUGUGGAGAGUGGCAACCCAGAAACUCUGAGAGCCUACCCACUCACCUUGCCUUUAUGCAACUUUUUCUUGUGGUCAUUCACCCAACUUUUUUUGUAAUAUUUUAGAAUUUGGUUUUGGGGAGUCAUAGAAAAUUGAGUUUGGGGGUUGGGGAUUUAGCUCAGUGGUAGAGCACUUGCCUAGCAAGCGCAAGGCCCUGGGUUCGGUCCCCAGCUCCGGAAAAAAAAAAGAAAAUUGAGUUUGAUAUGCCAUUAUCAUUGAACAUUUUUGAUGCUCAAUGUGCUUGUGAAUGUUCUUGUAUUUGUCAAGGCUCGGUUGUAGAGACAAUUGGAGACAUUUGGCUGAUCUAAGAAGAAGCUAGUUGCUUGUGAGACUCACUGGGGCAUGUAUGCUUCCUGGAUAAAUUCUUAGUGUAUCAGUUGGGAGCCUGUCCACCAAAGGUCUGUGGACCAAGGUCUGUGCUCCUUCUGCAACCUCCAGGAAGCUGGAGUCAGGAAGGCACUGUUUCAGAUUCUUGAUUCCAGCACUCCACUGCCCUAAGUAUGCCGUAGAGUAAUAAGCCAUCCCCAUUGGGGAUGACUCCUGUCAUACUCCACUUCCUGUAUCUACUCCAGUGAAACAGACGUCUUAGCACCCUGCUUUUUAUUUGUUAAUUACUGCUGUGCCCAUCUCCCAAAUACUUACUAAAACAAAUAAUGAUGCAGUAUCCUUGAAGGGGAUGAGAGCAAUGCAGGAAUGUUGUCUAAGUAGUGGGAGUAGAGAUCAUAGAAUGGAUCAAGAUGACCUUCCUGGAGAGGUAAUGCCUAUGUGAUGACUUGUAAAAGGUAAGAAGAUAAGCUUGUAGGAAUUUAGGGGAGCAGCCUCCAACAGCAAGAACAGAACAUGCAAAGACUCUGAGGCAGAACUUGUAUUGAAUGACCAAAUGAUGGUACAGGAAUGGGUAGCACUGAUGAACUCUCUGCUAGAGAUUCAUACUUAUUCCAAAGAAGAAAUGUUUAAAGUAAUCCCUUGCUUGGUUUGCUAUACAAAAUGUAUUUUGAAUUAUGAUAGUCAACAGUUUUUGUAGCAUUCAAACUAAUAUAUGCUUCUUGAAAGACAAAGAGAAAUCUCCUAAUAGUGCCAUAUUUGAAGCUACUAUGUAGUAAAAUAAUAUUCUUGCUACUAACAAUGCGACUAUCUGGGUUAGUGUGUUAGCUUUUCUUUUUAAAAAGGUCAACAUAAAAAUUAAAAAUGCAUAUGUCUGAUUUCUGGAUGGAGUAAAAGUAAUAUUUUUUAAAUUAAUUUUCGAGAAUUUCAUGCACCACAUUUUGAAUCCAAUCACCCAAAUUCCUCCCAUUACCACCUUCACCUUCUUAUCACAUUUCUUCCCUCACUUUCUGCAUGUACAUUUGACACUCCAUCACCCAAACUUGGGAUCUAUUUCUCCCCUUGCCUUCUGUCUUAGGGUUUCAUUGCUGUGAAGAGACACCAUGAUCAAAGCAACUCCUAUAAAGGCAAACAUUUAAUUAGGGCUGGCUUACAGUUGCAGAAGUUCAGUUCAUUAUCAUCAUGGUGGGAAGAUUGGCAGUAUCCAGCAGACAUAGUGCUGGAGGAGCCAAGAGUUCUACAUCCAAAGGCAACAGUAGAAAACUCCUGUGGGCAACUGGAAGAGGGUCUCAUCCACACUCUCAUCCGCACUGGGUAGUGCUUGAGUAUAGGACCUCCCCAACCCCCACAGUGACCCAUUUCCUCCAACAAGGCCACACCUAUUCUAAGAAGGCCAUACUUCCUAAUGGUGCCACUGUCUGUGGACCAAGUAUUCAAACACAUGAGUCUAUGGGGGCCAUACCUAUUGAAACCACUAUACCUUGCAUCUGAGAGAGCAUAACAAGCAUUUCAGAGCCCUAUAAGGCCUCUAGGAGUGUGUUUAAAGAAAGACCAAGUACAAUGAGAUCACUAUGAUGUAAGGAAAUGCUAGUCAUCUAUAUAGUAAGACCAUAAGAAGAAAGAGUGAUGACACUGAAGAGGCCAUCUUGGACUGAAGAACUCCACUGCUGUUGUAUGGACAAGAGUCAGGAAUACUGAGGCAAAGCCCCUCAUUCAUCUUCAACCAUUUAGGAAAUCUCAGAUGAAGUCCCAGGUUUUGUGGUGAACUUAGAAGCAUUUCCUCCAACAAAAUUUCUUACAUAAUGAAGUAAGAGAAAAACAGAUUAAUUUAUCAAUGCAGCUAUGUUGAAGAGCAUCACACAACUACGUUCACAAUCUAUUUACAUUGCAGAAAUCAGGAAAAAUUUAAAUAUUAUUUUUCACUUUAACAACAGUAACAAUGAUGAUUAUAAUAAUGGCAAUGAGAGUAGUGAUUUACUGAUAAUCUUGGAGAGCCAGGGCUCUUCCACUGCUAAAUCCACUGUUUUAUGUGUUUGAAUCUCAUAUGGUAAUGCAGAUAAACCUGGAUAUUUUUCAUAUGGUUGUUUGAACUCAUCCAACCAAAAUUCAUUUUCUCCCCCUGCCUUUUUCUAGUACUAACAUGUUUGAAGGGCUUGCAUAGAAGGUCAAGAGUAGUGGACUUUUAUGAUGAGAGGCCACUGAUAUGGUUGGAGAUAUGAUCAUUUUGUCUUCUGGGGAAGCAAUACCUUAUAGUGGCCUUUCUGUAAUGGUCUUUCCACUACAGGGGUAAAGUUGAGAUGCAAUAAAUAAAAAGAGUUGACCAACUCAUUACAGGUGGGUCAGUAUUGCAAAACUUUAUUUAGCAUAGUUUGGUAGAUGGGGCUUUUCUCUAAUUUUUGAUUCAUAUAGUUCCAGAAAAGCAUCAUGGGUUGUCCCAAAUUAUAGGAAUAAUCUGGUCCAUUAUGUAAAAUUUUAUUUCCCUUACUAUUAUUCUAAGAGAUAACUUUAUUUACAAUUUUAUUUGGAGAAAAAAAAGUGAGGACACAAUGUUUUUGCAUUUACUAAUUGUGGGGAAGGGAUGAGGAGGGCAACCUGUCCCCAGGUUCUUGUUUGUUGGAUGCUCGGCGGCAGAUGUGAUUAUAAAGUCUUACCUUGCCACAGAAGAAUAAGAUAAUACUGCCUUCAUUCCCAGAUGAAACCAGAAGGGGGAAGCCGGUCGAGGCUUCGGGUUUUUGGGAGAGAACUGUGACUAUAAAGUUGGCUUGAGGUGGCUGGAGGCUCUGUUCCUUACAUCACCACACUGCUCUCAUCUGUUGUAAUGAAAAAGGGCCAGGAUUUGUAGCCUUCAGGAGAUCCUUUCAAGCUACAACCUACCUCCCUAGAAAAUGAAACUGUGAUAGUUUCUCUUGUCUGGUUCAUGGGCAUGUGAAUUAAUUUAUGUUCGAUUGUGAAUUUUUCUAACUGCUAAGUACAUUUACACAGUGCGUGUUCUGCAUGCCAGACACUUAUCUAAGUACUGUCUUCAGACUAAUUCAUUUACUCAUUAGGAAAACCAUGAGUUAAUUUUCUGGAUUCAACUAUAUGAAUGCAGGCACUGGUACUAUGUUUUAAUGCAAAAUGGGGAGUUACAGCUGGUAUCUACCUCCAUUUUGGAAAUCAAAGGUUCCCCAUGAUUCUUAGGAAGCAAAUAAUUUGGACCUUGUAAACCAAGGUGUCAGAAUAAUAAAUACAGACAAGGAAACUGACAACAUAGAAGUUUUGUAAGUUAUCUAAGAUCAUCAUCAGCCCUGAAAGGCUAAGAAUGUGGCUUAGAAUGAGAAAAACACUUGGAUUUAAACACCAGCACAUAUACAUUUCACACACUUGGAACGCUAGUUUUUUUUUUUAAACAAGGUGGAUGUUUUUUUUCUUUUUUAAGAUUUAUUUAUGUUUUAUACAUGUGAAUACACUGUCACUGUCUUCAGACACAGCAGAAGAGGACAUCAGAUCCCAUUACAGAUGAUUGUGAGCCACCUUGUGGCUGCUGGGAAUUGAACUCAGGACUUCUGAAAGAGCAGUCAGUGCUCUUAACCACUGAGCCAUCUCUCCAGCCGAGAACUUUUAAUUAGUGAACUGAUAUUGGUAAUUGUUGCCAAUACUGAUUUAGAUAAUCACUUUUAUAUUUAGAAAUUUGCUUUAUGGAAGACUUUUUUGGGCAGUAAGUGAAAGUAGACUUUGGCUUUUCUUUCUAGAAAGAAAAUAUUACAUACAAUAUGUAUAAUAAUACAUUGUUUAUUCUCAAGUGGAUGCUAUCUUAUCUCAGUUUUCUGAGGGGAAAAUCUGAGAAUUGGGAAGGCGUGGGUACACUGGGUUAGUAAAUGGAAGACUCACUCCUAGACUUGAGGUCUGUCUGCUGGUUCCUACCUAGGGGCUGAAGAUUUCAUUUUACUAGUUAGUGGCUUUUGUUGCAUCCUAAUACUAGUAAAUUCUUUUGGGAAUAAACACCUCUCUGCUUUAAGCCCACAGAUUAGCGUUUUACAACCUGUUGGUUGUGACGUCUUUGGGGGUUGAGUGACCUCUUCAGAGGGGUUCCAUCUCAGAUAUCCUGUAAUAAGAUGUUUACAUUAUGAUUCAUAACAGUAGCAAAUUAUAGUUAUGAAGUAGCAACAGAAAUAAUUUUACGGUUGGGUUCACUACAUCAUGAGAUACUUUAUUAAAGGGUCACAGCUUUAGGAAGGUGGAGAAACACUGUUCUAGAGAUGAGUUCCAAAGAAACUGGGUCGUGUCAAUUGCGAAGUCCUGGCCCCUUUAGAGUGGCUUUACAACACACCCAAGGCUGCAUUACUCUGAUGACUUGUUCAAGUAUCAGCUAUUGAGAUGAAGUAGUUGACCAAGCCAACUCAGUCAGUCAACAGCUUCUCCAGGGAGGAAAUGAGGAUUAACAAGAAGAAAAUGAUCAGACAACACUAUGGCAUUACCCCAGACAGUUCAGAAGCUGAAGCAGGUUGAUUUUUUUCCCAGUCUGCUUUUAUACCAUUUUAAGUACAUGCAAAGAUUAAGGUCAGUUCUAGGUUAAGAAACAAAUGAGUCAAUAAACACAAAUAGACAAGGAACAAACAAGGCAGUUAACAAAGUCUCAUGAUCACUGCUUCUAGGGGCUUAUGAGGAUGACCAAGAUAUCUGAGCCCACUUCCCUGUCCUAGCCCAAAAUCAAAUUCUUGCCUGAAGCCUACUUCUUUGUUUUAGGCCAAAGUCAGAUUCCUGCCUGAACUUACUUUUGUGUUCUGCCCCAAUGUCAAAUUUUUGCCAAGUUUCUAGAAGUGGCCCCAAAAGCUCUCCACAAGUAAUUCACUUCUGAAAUACAGUACAGCACGAGGAACCUCUGGUUCUUAAUGUAGAGGUGAAGAAUGUAAGCAGUAAGUCCCCACAUUUCUAUCAAGAUAGAUUAUUAGUGUCUGCAUUCAUGUAGCUGAAUCUAUUACACUGCAGGGAAUUUUCUCAAAUUUUCUUCAUCUCAAAAGUCAAAGUUUCCAAGUGGGAAACCAAAUUGACUUUCAUGUAAUUUUCUCAGUUCAUUUAUGCCAAGGAAACUCGUACUAUGUGAAGUUUUCUGAGUGUAGCUCACAGGCAAAUGACUCCUUUACUUUAAAUAGCAGGAAACAUCAGGGAAUUAGUUCUUAUCUGAUAAUAGUUCACAGAACUACAUUUUGUAGAGUAGUUCUAAUUUCAGGGUAAGUGACAGUUCUGUUCUCCAAUAGAGAAAAUCCUUUGCUGCUGGUCUGAAUUUGGUCUUGAUGAAGGGUGCAGUGUGCUCAUUGUUUUAAUUGCGUGAUGCGCAUUCCGUUUUACUUCUGUUUGUCUUUAUAGAAUUCAGUAAAUGCAUUUAAACAGGGAGAUGAUUCAGACAAGGAUGACUGAUUGACUCCUAUCACUGACUAUUGGUCUAGUUAUUAACCCGGCAGGCUGACAGAACCCCACUUUUCAAAAGCACAAUCAUCAGGUGGAAGAAAUACAGACACUGUGCCAUAGAUCCAUUUCCCUUUAGAAACAACUUCACCUUCAGAGUGAAUGGCCAGUAAGAACAAGUCCCGGACCAAGGUGAUGUAACAUGGCUGCCAGUGAAAUCAGAUUUGCCUUAACCAGAUCGUACUGCAGAAAGGUUAUCAAAACAAGAGACAAAAGCUAUGUCCCAUUACACCACAGCUUUAGAGAGUGGCUCAGAGCAACUUUCCUUACUACAGCAUAACUCUGUGCAUUUGAUGUAAAAGUGGAUUAAUGAACUAUGGUCUUUCUUCAAAUACCAGUGCCAUGGUUAUCUGGAUUCUUAUUCUGUACAGAAAAUUCUCACAACGCUGGCAGCUGGCUAUGGUGGCACAUGUCUGUAAUGGCAGGGGACGCAGAAUGAAUUCAAGGGCUGGACUGCAUAGAGACAUCAGUCUCCAAAAUACAGCACAACAAAAUGAGGGACAUUGAUAGCUGAGACAUAAAAUGAGAAACACAGUUCUUCUGGAGAGUCUAAAGCUUUUUCUGAUAAAGCUGAUGCAGGUGAGUUAGAAAUGGUGUCCAGACAGAAGAAAAAGGUCUUCAAAUCUUUCCCAACAGAGACCAGGAGAUAGCUCUGUGCAUAAGUGCACUCAAGUACGAAGGCCUGAGUUCAAAUCCCCAGUACCACAUCAAAAGUCUAGUGUGGCUGUAAAUGUCUGAAACCCCAGGGCUGUGGAAGUGGAGGCAGUAGGGUUUCUGGGGCUGGCCUAGGGGUGUAGGCAACCACACCUGCUCGGGAUUCAGUGAGAGACGUGUCUCAACAGUUUGAUGUACAGAGUCAUAAAGGCAUACUUGACAUUGUCUUGCUGGCCUCUCAUGCACUGGGAUACAGGUACAUAUACCGCUUAUAUAGCCCCAUACCCCACAAGUAAAAAAGUUAAAUAAAACAAAUCUUCCCAAACAAGCAAA
Rattus norvegicus (Norway rat) is the source of this 10809-nucleotide non-coding RNA. The record is from RefSeq and is a predicted model, not a curated record. NCBI's taxonomy places the organism in Eukaryota, Metazoa, Chordata, Mammalia, Rodentia, Muridae.